This 1955-nucleotide unclassified non-coding RNA is filed under the name Ooceraea biroi (clonal raider ant). Its description in RNAcentral is "uncharacterized LOC105284145, transcript variant X1". The record is from RNAcentral. Lineage: Eukaryota; Metazoa; Arthropoda; Insecta; Hymenoptera; Formicidae.
AUAUUUUUCCAGCAAAUGUUCCUUGAUAUUCGCAGUAUGACGAUCUGCGUUGUGGAUCAGCAUUUUAGUCUUAAUAAAAUACUUUUGCGUGCACUUGCCUUAUGGCCUUAUCAUCGCACGAAACUCGUUGAAUUACACCUGGUCUUGUUGUUUUUUAUUUUCAUUAGCUUCAUCUUAGUUCAAUUGACAACAUUUCUAACUACAGAAUGCACCCCUAAUAUGAGAAUUAGAAUUUUCUCCUUUGUAUUGUAUUUUACUAUAUAUCUAAUAAAGUACAGUUGCUUCUGCAUUAAUAGUGAUACUAUAAGAUGUUUAUUAGACAAAUUUCAAUAUAUAUGUGAUGAGCUAAAAGACGAAGGCGAAAUCGCUAUCAUAAAAGAAUAUGGGAACGAGGCAAAACGUUUUACACUUAUUAUGUCAGUAUACAGCAUAUCCAACGCACUUAUUCUGUGUCUUCUACCAAUUGUCCCGCGAAUUCUUGGUAUUUUUACGUCCAUAAAUGUGUCUGAAGAAUAUUUUAUGAUACAUGUUCCGAGAGAAUACUUUAUCGAUCAAGAGAAGUAUUACUAUUAUAUUUUGCUGCAUAUGGAAGCAAACUUCUUUAUAGGAGCAAUUGUAUUAUUAGCAACAGGAACAAUGCUAUUUGGCUGUAUCAAAUAUAUAUGUGGAUUAUUUAGAAUCGCCAGUUGUCGUAUUGAUCAAACAAUGGAAACUUCGAUGUUUCAAAGUGCUGGUUUGUCGAAGGAUUGUGUAAUUUAUAAAAAGAUUGUACACGCCAUAGACAUUUAUCGCAAAGCAGUAGAGUUAGUAUUAAUUAUAUCGGCGCAAUUAUGUGAUAUAAUAAAAUCCAAUCUCGUGGGAUCAUGUUUUUCACUAAUGUUAGUUGGUGUUAUUUCCUUAAGUCUCAAUCUUUAUGGACUUCACCAGGCUUUGAUGCUUGUAAGUGCGACGGAGGAAUGUUUAAUGUAUGUUACACUUACAGUUGUCAUUCUAAUAUAUAUGUUCAUAGCCAGUUACAUCGGACAAGAAGUUUCAGAUCACCAUAAUCAUGUAUUUAUAAGCGUAUACAACAUUAAGUGGUACGUAACUCCUUUAUAUAUACAAAGGAUAAUUUUGUUCCUGUUGCAAAAAGGCACUAAAAAUUUUUAUAUUACUUUUGGUGGGCAGUUUGUGAUGUCUAUGGAAAGUGCGACCACGGUAAAAUUAUGUCAUAUCAUGUCAUGUUAUAAAAUUACAUCAAAUUAUAAUUUUCCGCGAGGUGUAACCUUAUCUGCAUAAUUACCUUUCAAAGCAGCAUGUCCUUUACAGUGGAAUAAAACAAUGCAAAAUAUGUUUCAGAUGUUAAGCACUUCCAUAUCGUAUUUCACCAUUAUCUAUUCUACACAGCAAGAUACAUGACAUAACUAAAUAACUUAAAUUAGUUUAUGGCUUCUAGAGAAAAGCCAUAGCUUCUAGAGAGAAAACAUGAGUAGAUUCUGUAUAUCAGAGAUUUCGUAGUCGAAUACUUAUUUUCGCAAAGAGAUGAAAUUUAUUGUGAAAAAAAAUUGCUCAAAGCAGCAAAUCAUCAUAAUAUUUUCCUGUGUUUACAGGAACCUGAUAAUAAUUACUUCCAGUAAAAGUUCGAAAUACAAAACGAACGAUGUAGCACUUUCCGAGAAUGGAAACGUAUUUCAAAAAAACUUGGUUUGGAGUAAAACCGAGGCUACAAUGUAGUCAAUAUAAAUCAUAUGCAUUUGCAUGUGUUCAAUUGAAAUGUGUUCAAGACAUCAUACUAUGAUUCUUCACCAGAGGAAAAUAAAUAUCCAGUGAAUUGUUUUCUUUAUCGAUCGCAUAAUAGGCGAUUUCUAUUCCAGUUAUUGUCACUAAAUUUUUGCGAUUGUGCGAUGACAUCAUGACCAUUUGCUUUGUAUAUACUUAUGUAAAAUUGAGUAAUUAAAAAUAUUACGCUUACAUGA